This 403-nucleotide ribosomal RNA is filed under the name Fusobacteriota bacterium. RNAcentral describes it as "Fusobacteria bacterium partial 16S ribosomal RNA". It matches the Rfam family "Bacterial small subunit ribosomal RNA", at positions 355 to 776 of the family's 1533-position model. The record is from RNAcentral. Lineage: Bacteria; Fusobacteriati; Fusobacteriota.
UGGGGAAUUUUGCACAAUGGAGGAAACUCUGAUGCAGCGACGCCGCGUGAGUGAUGAAGAUCUUCGGAUUGUAAAACUCUGUCCUUAGUGAAGAUAAUGACAGUAACUAAGAAGCAAGCCCUGGCUAAAUACGUGCCAGCAGCCGCGGUAAUACGUAUGGGGCAAGCGUUGUCCGGAAUUAUUGGGCGUAAAGGGUACGUAGGCGGUUUAAUAAGUCCUAAUUAAAAGGCUAUGGCUCAACCAUAGUAUGGUUAGGAAACUGUUAAACUUGAGUAGAAGAGGGGAAAAUGGAAUUCCAGGUGUAGCGGUGAAAAGCGUAAAAAUAUGGAGGAACACCAAUGGCGAAGGCAACUUUCAGGAAUCAAACUGAAGCAGAGGUACGAAGGCGUGGGGAGCAAACAGG